AUUCCUACAGUACCGGCAGCUACUUACACGUAAGUAGGUUUCUUCCUGUAGAAAAGCAGUUUACAACGCAUAGCGCAUUCAUCCUGCACGCGGCAUGGCUGGUUCAGUCUUUCGACCA
RNAcentral lists this ribosomal RNA (118 nucleotides) under uncultured bacterium. RNAcentral describes it as "partial 16S ribosomal RNA". The record is from RNAcentral.